AUGAUUAUGCAAUGUCUCGGAGCCGUCUGUGGUGCCGGAGUAGUCAAGGGUUUCCAGCCAACGCCGUACCAGACUCUCGGUGGCGGUGCCAACACUGUCGCUCCUGGCUACUCCAAGGGAUCUGGUCUCGGUGCUGAAAUCAUCGGAACCUUUGUUCUCGUCUACACGGUCUUCUCCGCCACCGACGCCAAGAGAAGCGCCCGUGACUCACACGUCCCGGUAAGAGAUCUCACUUUUCCGGUUUAUCCCGGUUUGAUGAUGCUCAGGAGUGUUUGGUUCGUACUUGCGCGACUAAUAAUUGCUAAUUUUAUUUUGUUUAUUAAAAUGGAAAAAAAAAUGGUAGAUAUUGGCACCGCUACCAAUAGGGUUUGCAGUGUUCUUGGUACACCUGGCGACAAUUCCGAUAACCGGGACCGGAAUCAACCCAGCUAGAAGCCUUGGAGCCGCAAUUAUCUACAACAAGGACCACUCCUGGGAUGAUCAUGUGAGUCAUUUUAAAAACAUUUAUUUCUUGGUAAUUAUUUGAAAUAAAAGAUUUUUGAAAAUUUGAAAUUUAAUCGUGUGUUGGGCAGUGGAUAUUCUGGGUGGGACCAUUCAUUGGAGCAGCUCUAGCAGCACUCUAUCACACGAUUGUCAUCAGAGCCAUUCCUUUCAAGAGCAAGAGCAAGAGCUGAAGGAUGAUGAUGAAACAAAAUAAAUAUUCAAAUGUCCUUGCUUACUAUUUUUAUCAUGUAGCUUUUGUGUGUUGCAAUGUAUUUACUACUCUCUUUAAGGAGGAGUCUAUUUUAAGAAUGGUAUUUGGUAUUUUGUGAAUUUCUUGUAUGCUUUUAAAGUACAUUGGGUUGUUCUAUGUGUUGUUUAGUUGUUAAUCAUCUCUGGUUUGCAAUGUACUUCUACACUGUUCUUUGUGUUGCAUCUCAAAAUGAUUUGGGGUUUCUAUUGUAAUAAAAGCGUUUCAACUUUCAACGUAGUGCAUCUGUCUCUCCUAGAAAAGCAUAAUUAAUUUAUGCGGUGAUUCAUUCAAUUAUGUAAUGGCGAAACUAUCUUGGGCCUUACUUAUGCUGCGAAGCCGAAAUCGAAAAAGUGUAGGCCCAAAAGAAAGCCAGUGGCAUAUUGUGAGAAUAAAGUUGCUUGCUUUAUUUUUGUCUCUGCCUCCUCCUAUGGGUAUCUUCUACGGUAUGGGUAUUUCUAACCCCCGUUCUAUUUUUCACUCUAAAAUAAAAUUUAGAAUAAAAUUCUAUAGUUGAUCAUAAAAAAAAAGAGUAAAAUUCUAUUUCUCAUUCUAUUUUUUAAUUUAAAAUAGAAUCUAACCUAUACUAAAAGGGGAAUAUAGUCAAAGGAGAGCCUGUCCACGUUGGAUUAAAUAAUCAACCAAUCAGAAGACAUUAAUUUGCCAUGUCACAACACCUUUGUCGAGUUAUUGGACCUUCCGUGUUGUCUCCAAAAAUUAAAUCAUGGCCCGUGUAAAGCCCAGCUGCCAAAAACCUAUCUCCUAAGCAUCUAUCAAUACGACUCUUCCACUUCGUCUUCUACGUCUCCAUCUACUGUAAAAGGCGUAACAGACCCCCUGAUCAAUCAGUGAUACUCUUCAAUCCCCCUUUGAUGGUUUCGUUCCACCUCCCCUUCAUUCUCCACCUAUAUAAAUCAUUACAUCUAAACCUAAAUUCAGACAAAAUCGGAAACUUCCACAGAAAGAGAUCACGCUAUAACCAUGAACUCUGCUAAAUCAAACGGAAAGGUAGGAGUAUACAAUAUUUUGUGCUCUAUAUUGAUUAUAUGACUUCAUUUUUAUUGCAUUUGUAUAUAGAAAAUUCUUCUGUCUACUAUUAUUGUUUGUUUCUGAUGGCUGUGGAUAUUGGGUUAUGCAGUGUGUUCAUGAAGGAGAAGAUAAAUUGAGUUAUAUUUAGUUUUGUACAACAUCAUCUUUUACAGUGCCUUGAACAAGACCUGAACCAAGAUCGCUUGAUCUCAUGGAGCCAACAUAACCAAACUGAUAAAGAAGGAAGAAGGCUGAUCAUACAGGCAUGCGCAAUUGCCUCCGGCGCCGUCGUCUUCUCUGAGUCCUCCUUAUCGACUUGGGAGGACAAGGAUUCAUCUUUAGGUAUGCGUCGGUGGCGUAAGGCAUCAGCUUAUUUUCUCUCUUAAAUGCUUCAAAGAUCUCCUUGGCUCUCAUAAAUUUGGUUCAUUUGAUCAUUUCCAUUGAUGGGUCUGCCUUCGCUCACAGAUUCCUGUUGUGUUGGAGUUUAUGCCUUUUGAAACUUCCUCUAAGCAUCUCUUCCACUGUAAGUAUUUUCUCAUCUUUUAAGAGAUUAGCAAUAAUCUUAAUGUUUGAUCUGAUUUUGUUUGACAUAUCUCAGUGAUGAUAUAACUCAUUCUGAUGUUAUAUAUGAACUAUUCUUGGUAAAUUGUGAUGAUAUAUGCAGGGGAUAUCAAGCCAAUGAAGUAGGCGAGGAGGGUGAGAGCGGAUUGCGGCAACACAGAUCGCGUUUGUUUUCUCCUUUCAAUUUGCUCUUCCUUCUCUAUUUUGUUUGUUCUCCCUUCCUUCUUUCGGUUUGGUCAAUUAUGUUGUUGUUUCUUUUGAGAUUUUCGAGUUUAUCACUAUCUUCGAAAGUGGUUGUGUUGCUAACCAUGGCGUACGUCUUUCUUCGAGUGUACAGCGAAGGCAGCAGUGGUAGGGUUUACCAGUGUGGAAUUCCAGAAAGGCCUCUCGAUUGUUAACCUUUAUAUGUAAGUGAAAUACCUUUGUUCCUUAUAAUCUCUAACUUCAAGUAUUUGAUUUGUGUUGUUUUGGGAAUGAGAUUUUUCCAUUGGUUUGAUUAGUAAACAACAUUAUGUUGAUAUUGUUCUGUGCAAUAAUAUCAAUUUGGUUUUAUAUUUUUAUGUGUAGAGAGGAUAAAGUUGCUCAUGAUUUCUGAAACAACACACACUUCUUCUUCUUAAUCCUCAAAGAUGAAUCUACCAAGUCUCCUCUCCAGGUUAAUGGACUCUAAACAGAGCACUUGAAAGUUGAUUUUUUUUGGUGUGUCAUGUGUGCAACAGCAGUUUUUAUCGUUUCACACUAGGCUUAUUAUCCUUUAGUAAAGAGCUAACUGAUAUGAAUUAGCUUACUAUAAGAAAUGUUAAUGGAAUUAACUUAACAGCAAAUUGCAUUUAAAAAACGUAGACCUUCAAACAUAUAUAUGGAUUGAACAUAGAUUCUGUAGAUAUAAAGGUUGUAGAGUUUCUUUUAAAUGCAUUUAUCAUUCAUCAUUUUAAUGUUUCUACUUAUCUUAUGGAUUAUUUGAUUGCCAAGUUCAGUAAGUAAAUUUUGUAUGACUUUCUUAAUGUUACAAACCCAUUAUCUCUAUCGAACUAACAUAAUUUUUUUUUAUCUUGAUUACCACUGCUCAGAUAUGUGAUGUUUGAUCGAUCACCAAUCACCAAUCACCAUCCUAUUCUCCAGGUGGGCGUGCUUGAUGGCCAUUAGUGAAGCUCUGUCAAGAACGACUAUAGUGGAAAAUGAAUUUUUGAAUGAGUACGAAGGUGGUGGAAAAUAUAGCAUCGGUGAUCAUGGUUAUUGCUACAGCUGUGGUGGUGGUUGAUACGCGAAAUCAUAUAUAACUAUAUAUACUUCAAAUGUAUUUAUUUUUAGUUUUAUCUAUGUUCUAAGUUUAGUUAUCUAAUUAUUUAAUUUUAUUGUGUAUAUCAUGCUUAUCUGGCAUGUUUAAUGGCUUGAAACACAGUUUUGUUUAUUUGUUAUAUUUAAUUUUUCUCAUUGAUCAUAUAUAAAAAAAUACAUAAUUUCUCAAAAAAUGAUAAAGCCUGGUCAAAAGUUAACUUAAAAGUAUUUUUUUGUGUAACAUAGGAGAUAAUUUUUUUUUUUUGUAAUGUGACAGAGAAGAUAAUUGAUAUUUUGUGUGUGUAUAAAGCUUAGAUUAACUUAAAGUAUUUUUUGACUAAAAUUUGAGAUAUUUUACAUUUACUAUAGCGUUUAAUUUUGGGUCUGUAAGACACCUACAUUUAGCAAAUUAACACGACUAAUUUUUUUAUUUUUCCGUGAUACCAAACAUAACGUUUUAUGAAUGAAAUUAGAAGUUGCACAUAUAUAACAAAGUAAGAUUAAUUUAACAGUUUAGUAAGAAAACAAUUUUACAAAUUAAGGACGUUAGUUUAUAUAUACCACAUAUAAAAUAUGUAGAUGUUACAUCAUUUGUAAUAAAAAAAAACCGGAGAGUUAAGCUCAUGGUCGUUUUGGAGAGCAGGAAUCGCCGAGUUCAUAGCUACCUUUCUCUUCCUUUACAUCACAGUGUUGACAGUAAUGGGAGUGAAGAGAGCACCAAACAUGUGUGCCUCUGUGGGAAUCCAAGGCAUCGCUUGGGCUUUUGGUGGCAUGAUCUUUGCUCUCGUCUACUGUACUGCUGGAAUUUCUGGUAAUUAAUUUCCUCCAUUUUCUGGUUACUUGUAGCCUACGGAAAGUCUCUUGUGUUGGUUUCUCUGUAAUUUGGUUUUAGAUCUACGGAAUAUGUCUCUGUGACUCUGUUAGAAAAGUUUGGUUCUUGGAUUCUUUGUUGUUGUUUCUGUAACAUAUGUUUGUGUGUUUUAAUGUUUCAGGUGGACACAUCAACCCUGCGGUUACGUUCGGUCUGUUCUUGGCUAGGAAGUUGUCUCUGACCAGAGCUGUUUUCUACAUGAUUAUGCAAUGUCUCGGAGCCGUCUGUGGUGCCGGAGUAGUCAAGGGUUUCCAGCCAACGCCGUACCAGACUCUCGGUGGCGGUGCCAACACUGUCGCUCCUGGCUACUCCAAGGGAUCUGGUCUCGGUGCUGAAAUCAUCGGAACCUUUGUUCUCGUCUACACGGUCUUCUCCGCCACCGACGCCAAGAGAAGCGCCCGUGACUCACACGUCCCGGUAAGGGAUCUCACUUUUCCGGUUUACCCCGGUUUGAUGAUGCUCAGGAGUGUUUGGUUCGUACUUGCGCGACUAAUAAUUGCUAAUUUUAUUUUGUUUAUUAAAAUGGAAAAAAAAA
This 5004-nucleotide long non-coding RNA is filed under the name Brassica napus (rape). Its description in RNAcentral is "long non-coding RNA (BNAP_LNC013380)". Lineage: Eukaryota; Viridiplantae; Streptophyta; Magnoliopsida; Brassicales; Brassicaceae. The record is from RNAcentral.